UCAGAAGCUCUUUGAAAUCUGUCUUCUAAUUUCUCUGUCAUGUCUAUUCUUUUUUGACAAUUCCAUUUUCAAAAUAUGCAUAGUAAAUCGUUUCAUUUCCUUUACUAUUCUGAGGCUUUCCUUUCCUCCAACCUUCCUCUCCUGAAACUUCCUAGUCUGGCUCACUCCUCUCAUCGUAUCGUGCUUGAUCCUCAGCAUACUUAGGAACUCCCUUAUCCAAAUGUAUUUCUUCUCCUCUUCUUAGCGUUUCUGUUGCUAGAAUAUGUGCAAGAUUAUUUUUCGAUCUUGGUGUAUGUUGAAAUCUGAUAUUAUAAAGUCCAUAUUUUGCUGUUGGAUAUCAUAAAUGUAUGCCCCUACCAUUGAUUGAUCUUGACCCUUUGUGCUACAUUUCUUGAUAAUUAUGAGGGAAUCUCCUUCAAGAAUCAGAAACUGCCAUCCCUUCCCGAUUCCUAUUUGGACUGCUUUCCGGCAGGCUAUUGCUUCAGCAGCAAAGGCCGAUGAGAUAUCAUUAUGGAUUUCUGAACAUGAUAAGAGGAUUUUUCCUUCUGAAUCUCUGACCACAACACCCGAAGCCGAAUGGUUCUGGCUUUUAUUAUAGGCACCGUCAAAGUUGAUCUUAAUGAAACCUCCCUGUGGGCACUUCCAUCUCUUUUUCUCUCCGGUAAGAUUCAAAUCUCUUUUUCCAAGGCUAGUAAUCUCACUAAUGUAACUGUUUAUAAAGUUUGCAACUUCCUUCCCAUUACUAACUUUUCCUUCAUGUAUUCUUUUGUUUCUAUCCCCCCAUAUGGCCCAAAGUGCACAAUAGAAGAGUCGACUUUGGUAAAGGUUAAGCUUCUCUAACACCCAGGUAAUCCACUGUACAAAAUCCUCGCAUUGAUUCAUCAUAAUACUCUGAAAUGAUAAUUCUCUCCAUACAUCACUUGUAACAGGGCAUUCACGAAAUAGAUGAUUCAUUGUUUCAGCUACUUUCUCCGCAUCGGGGACAACUUGGAUUGACUGCUAACUUUCAGUGCUGUAGAUUCACCUUUGUAGGCAAAUAAUUCCAUGAUAACCUCCAUAUUGUGACCUUUAUUUUUGUUGGUAGAUUUAGGCUCCAAAGUUUUUUGUAAAAAUUCCUGUAGAUGGUUUGUAAAGCAUAAGCUUUAGGACUUUCAACCGAUCUCUAUAAUAGUUUAUAGGCGCUUCGGACCGUGAAUUCACCCAACAUCUCACCCCUCCAAAUAAGAAAGUCUUCAUGCGGUGUUUGUGCCAGAGGGAUUCUGAGGAUUCUGGCAGCAUCUUCUUCCGUAAAGGUACUAUUGAUCAACUCUUUUUUCCAACUUCUAUUAUUACUGUCAAUCAGCUCAUCAACUUUAGAAACGUGCAAAGAAUUUAUUUCUGAUAAUAAUCUAAAGUUAACUGAAUCUGGAAUCCAAGCAUCACUAAUAGAUAUACUAGAACCCGUCCCCACCCUCCAACAAUGCCCUUUUGUCAAUAGAUCUUUGGCUGCCCAAAUACUUUUCCACACAUAAGAACAUGAAUUUCCUAAACGGGAGUUUAAAAAAUGAUCUUCCGGGAAAUAUUUAGCUUUAAAUACUUGCGUAACGAGAGCAUUCUGAUUAUUCAUAAUCCUCUACCCUUGUUUAGCCAGUAAUGAAAUAUUGAAUUGCGCCAUAUUUCGAAAGCCCCUACCUCCCUCCUCUUUAGGCCUACACAUAUAUUCCCAUUGACACCAAUGAAUUCCUUUCUUACCUUUUCCUUUCUGCCACUAGAAUCUAGCAAAUAAAUUGUCAAACUCACCACAAAGUGACUUUGGUAGUAGAAAACAUGUCAUGGCAUAAGUAGGAAUUGCUUGGAGUACUGAUUUAAUGAAAACCUCUCUACCCCCUUGAGAUAAGAAAUGAGUGCUCCAAUUUUUGAUCCUUUUCUUUAUUCUGUCUUUAAGAUUCUGAAAAGAUUCCUUUUUCUUCCUUCCUACCAUGUUUGGCAGUCUUAGAUAUUUCUCCAUAUUAUUCGAACAUCUUAUUCCCAUUUCAGCCGAUAUACUUCCUUUGUCACCUUCCUCUAUAUUAGAGCUAAAAAAGAUCAUGGACUUAUUAAAAUUUACACAUUGACCAGAACAAAUCUCAUACUCUUGCAAAAUAGCUUUUAGGUCCCUUGCACUGCUCUCGGUAGCUUCACCAAACAAAAUGCAGCCGUUUGCAAAUAGCAAGUGUGAAAUUGUCGGGCCUCUUAUGCUAGCUCUCACCCCUUUAAUCAACCCCUCUCUUGUUGCAGUCCUGAUUAAGGACGAUAGUCCUUCACUACAAAUAAGAAAAAGAAAAGGGCUAAGUGGGUUACCUUGUCGGAGCCCUCUGGUUGGUUUAAAAACUCUGCCAGUCCUCCCAUUUGUGGUCACAGCAUAAAAGACUGUAGAAAUACAUCUCAUAAUUAAUGACACCCAUUCCUUCGCAAAGCCCAUACGAAUCAUAACUUCCUUCAAGAAUAUCCAUUCAACUCUAUCAUAAGCUUUACUCAUGUCCAACUUAAUCGCCAUGAAUGCUUUUUUCCCCUGACAUUUUUGUCGAAGUGUAUGUAAAAUUUCAUAGGCUAUCAAAACAUUGUCCGAAAUAAGCCUCCCUGGGACAAAUGCACUUUGAGCACUAUCUAUGCACCUUCCAAUAACUUCCUGAAGACGAUUGGCAAUAGCUUUGGCUAUUAUUUUAUAUAUAACUGUGCACAAACUAAUCGGUCUAAAAUUAGCAAGAUUUGUAGGAUUGGAGUUCUUCAGAAUAAGAGUAAUCUUAGUCAGAUUUAACCCUUCUACAUCUUUUCCGUUGUUCAAAACUUCCAAAAGGAAAUUCCCAAUAUCUUCACCCACAAUACCCUAGUAUUUUUGAAAAAAUAGAGCCGAAAAUCCAUCAUAACCUAGAGCUUUUGUAGAACCCAUUCCCUUUACUGCUAUAAAAAUCUCUUCUUCCGUAAACUUUUCCAAAAGGGCUGUGUUGAUGUUUGGAGGAAUGCUGUUUUUAAUACCUGUUAAAAGGUGGGAAAAAUCUCCAAUGCCAUUAGUUGAAAAUAGCUUCUGAAAAUACUGCGUAGCGAUCUCAUUUAUUUCUGCUUCCUCAGUGAUUCCUUUUCCAUCAUCACUAUCAAGCCUGCGUAUUGUAUUGAUUCUUUUCCGCAUUGAGGCAUAUUUAUGAAAAAUGCCGUAUUCUUAUCCCCUAGCUUCAGCCAGUUAGCCCGUGCUCUUUGUUCCCAAUACAUCUCCUCCUUUUCGAUCUCCAUACUCAGAUGGAUUCUUUUGUCAAUAAUCUGGAUCAUAAUAUCUUCAUCUAGUUCCUUCGUCAUUAAAUCUUCAAGCUCUUUCGUAAUUUUAUCCGUCAGCCCCUUUCGUUUCUUCUUUAUUGAAUUUACCCAUUUUGACAAGCUGACCUGUAAUCUCUCAAUCUUCUCAAAAAUCGAUCCAUUUGAUGACUCCCAUGAUUUCCUAAUUUCUUCUUCAAUUGAUUCCUCUGUGGUCUACCAUGCUUCGAAUUUGAAACUUGGAGCUUUCGUGAAUCUGCUUUCAUUAGUUGUGCUUAUUAGGAGAGGACAAUGAUCCAAAAGUGAAGACGUUAAAUGAUGUAUAUUGCCUGUUGGAAAUAAGUCCAUCCAUUUUUCAUUCGCAACACCCCUAUCCAAUCUUUCCCUAAUGUUUGUCUCUGGUAGAUUCCCUCUUUCCCAUGUAUACCAUAUUCCCGAGUAUCCCACGUCUAUAAGUUGGCAUUCUUUUAGAACUUCACGAAACGCUUCCAUCUUCUUCUCCUCCCUCGGUUGACCUCCUCUUUUUUCAAAUGAAUAAGCUAUUUCAUUAAAAUCUCCACUCAUUAACCAUGGAUACUCUCGUUCCUGCCCCAAGUUUCUUAGUAAAUCCCAUGAGGCAUUUUUAUUUUGUGAGUAAGGUUAGCCAUAAAAACCUGUGAAUCUCCAUUCUUUGUGAACCCCUUCUUCUUUGAUCAACACAUCAAUAUGACUUGUUGACAGAGUUUUAAGAUUAACUUGAACCUCCUCUCGCCAUGCUAAGCAAAUCCUACCCCGCGUACCAACAGCUCCUACUUCAAGCCCAUUUGUGAAUCCACACCUCCUCCUAAUUACCUCCAUACACUUUUCACUAACUUUAGUCUCCAUUAGGAAGACUAUUUGAGAAUUAUUUUGUUUUAGUAAAAACUGAAGCCUCCUUACUGCUCGUGGACUCCCCAAUCCACGAACAUUCCAGCAUAUGAUUUUCAUUGUGUCCGGUCGGCUUGCCCAUUGGUAGCCGCUAAUCCAUUCUGGUUGGAGUAUUCCACUAGCAAAUUAGUUUCAUCCUCAUUGGUUAGAACUUGUCCGCCAUGUCUCACCCUUUUUGGUGUCUCUUCCUGAGUCUCUCUUGCCCCGUACUCAUCCUGUAUGAUCUCUGCCAAUUUCCUUUUUUGCAAUUUGCGAUCUAUCUCAUGAUUCCUCAUCACUCCCAUUGAUUUCAUCCUUUUCCAACUGGCUUUCCUAACUGAAUUCAAUAUAUUGGUGUUAUUGUUCUCACUAUUUCCUUCGUUGAUUCCUUCUUCCUGUUGUAUCUCUAAAUCUUCUUCUGUUGUUGUCAACCAAGCACCAUCUUGUACUCCUCUCAUCAUACCACUACUUUGUUCACUGUAUAAAUACUCUUCCUGAUUCCCUGUAAUAUUUCCUACAUACGAGCAUUGAGUUUGUAGUUUUUUUGCUAGAGCAUUUAGCUUUAGACUCUCCCUUCCAACCAAAUUUAAUUCUGCUUUUAAUGCCAAAGAAAAAGGUGGAUCCUCUCUAAUUCUGUUUUUCUCUGCGGGUGUAAUUUCUGUACAAUCAUGAAGGCCAUGCCCCAACCUUCCACACCCAAAGCAAAAAAGUCGAAAACUUUUCAUACUUGAAUGGGAUCCAAAAUUUGUUUCCAUUCCCUAUUGAAACAAAAAUACCCCUACGAAGGGGUCUCUACACAUUUAGCUUCACUCUGAGACGGCAAAACUCACCUAGUAUUUCAAAUCUGAGCACCCCUCCAAAAGUGACUCUUAUAGCAUGCAGAAGAUAUUUUUUUAUCAACCUCUAGUAAACAAGGCCCAAUUUUAAUCCAAAACAGAGAUGAAACAAGUCUAAUUUGAUCUCUCGCCAUUGGUUUACUCAAUUGAUCAAAGAGAAUUAAUUGUUUCCUAAACAACCAUGGUUGACCUUCCAGAAUAGUCUCUAAGUCUUCUUCUAGUUCAAAAGCUAUCAAAAAAAGGUUUUGUCCUACCACUUGAAUCUCGAAUUUCUUCCUUGUUUUCCAGAUACUUCUCAUCUGUGCUUUGAAACUAUCCUGGUUAUAAGAUUUCUUUGUCCAUAUAGAACAUAUCAGAGAAGAGUUGCCGUUUGGCUCCACCAUCAAACUUUUGACCGAUAGUUGAAUAAGUUCCUCUGUUAAUAGGGAGAUCUCAUCUCCCCCAAACCCAUCGUUACCACCACUCUCCAUCAUCCCAAGCCGCAGCAGCCACUGUUAUCGCUAAGAUACCAAGGAUAGCACUCUUUGUUUCUAGGGUUUUUGUAUAUCCAGCUAGAGACUAUAAUUUUAUCGAACACACAAUAAUUAGUUUUCUUAUUUUGUCUAUAAAUUAAAUAUAAUCAUAAUAACCAUGGAAAUUAGUUAAUAAGUAAAUUUAAAUAAUUUAAUUUGUAGAUGAUAAUAUUAAUUAUAAUUAUAAAAUAAUCCAUUUGUUGUUAAUUAAUAAUGUUUUAAAAUAAUACUUAUAUAUAGAUGUACGAAUUUUUUGUAUUUAAAUUAAAAGAAACAUUUAAUUAAUUCAUAUUAUAUAAAAAAUAUUUAUACAUAAUUUAAUUUAGAGCUUUUAUUUAUAAAAGACUUACACAUAAUAUAUUUGACCAUUGCAUGCCAGGGUCUUAGUACCGGAUAAAAAAACUUAUUUAGUACUGGAUGCCAACGUUGUCCUAGUACUAUAUUAGAAUCAACACAAACAUUUAGUACUAGAUGAUGUAACACCUCAAAAAUCAUUACAUUAUGAAAGUAGUGAAAAAUCGAGAAUUUGUCCUUGAUAAAGAGAGAUAAGGAAAUAACAGUGACAAAAAGAGAAAGUUGAGUAAUGUUAAAGAAAAUUUUAAUUAAGAGGUAUGUUGAAAUACAUUAAUUUAAAGUAAGGACUAAAUCAUAAAUGUGAGAAAAGUGUGUGGUUCAAGCAUAAAUAUUCAAUUAGCAAGAGAAAAUUCUAGAAUGUAAUGAUUAUGUUGAUGAUAUUUUGGAGAUAUUUUAAAUUAAUUAAUUAGAUAAAUAUUAUUUUAUUAAUAUUUUAAUAAGAUAAUUUUUAAUAUUUCAUUUAAUUAAGGCUAAUAUAAAAAGAAAGAAACCAAGACUUCCAACGUCCAAGAAGAGAGAAAGAAAGAAAAUUUUACUUUCUUUAUAAUUUGGUCCUUCCACCAAAAAUCUACCAUUUUCACCUAGGAAUCAAAAGAAUUUCUAUAACCACUAAGAGAGCAAAAUGAUAAGGAGGUUAUGGGUAGUAAGAAUAUCAAUUUAGAUUAAAAAAAAUAGAUGUUGGAAGAGAGAGAAAAUCAAGUUAAAGCUUAGUUUUAAGAGAACAAGGUAUGGAUGUUAAAGUUUUAUGUUGUUUUCAAGUUUAAUAGUAUUAGAAAAGUAUAUAAAUGAUGUUAGAAUAAAGAUUACUCGUGGAAAAGUAUUAUGUUUUUUGACAUGUUGAUGAAGAAAGAAGUUGAGAAAGUGAAUUAAGUGAGAAGAAAAAGAGAAGAGUAAGUGAUUUUGGAUAGAAAAGGGGUAAAAUAUGAAAUUAGUGAAAUAUGUGGUAAGUUAGUAAAACAAUGUGUGAAAUAAUUUAACAUGUGAAGUAGAAAAUUAUGAUAAAAGCAUAAUAAAUAUGUUAUGUGAUGAUGAAAAAUGCACAAAGUAUUCAAUAAGUAAAAUUAUGGAAAAAUAUGGAAUUUUUAUGAUAACAAGGAUAAAUUGUAAGACUUGAGAAAAUAUGUGGUUGAAAUAAUAAAUGAAAUAAGAUAUUGGAAUAAAUUACGUGAUUAAUGUAAUAGUCUGUUUUACUGGUGUCAAAAAUAGCGAUUUCAGGAUCACGAUUCCGAUAAGUGAGUUAGUAUUUUAAUAUUUAUUUAACGUCUAUAGGGUUAUAUUAGGGUUGUAUUAAAUUCUCUUUAAGAAAUUUUGAGGUUUAAAUAGUUAAUUAGGUAAAAAAAACUAAACCGUAAAACAUGCAAAAAUUGGUUUCUAUUAGUUAAAUAGAUUAAAUGGCUUUGGAAAUAUAAAUUAAUGGAUCUAGUUAGUAAUUAUGCCAUAUAUAUUAAUGUUGGACAAUGAUGGACAUGAUUUAGUUAUUUUAUAAGCUUUUAAAAUAAGGGUAAAAUAGUAAUUAAUUAACUAAACACAAAACAAAUAACUAAAAUGCUAUCAUCUUCUUUGUUUUACUUUGUUUCAACUGAAAACACCAUUAAAGAAGGAGCUUGAAGUUUUGGCUAGGGUUUGCAUGGUAUGUGUUUGAGCCUUGUUUUUAGUAAUUUUUAUGUUUUUGAGCUUGUUUUAGCUUAGUCUAGUUAGCUCGAGGGUUAAUUUGUAAAAUUUUUAAAGGUUAAGGGACUUUCCAUGGAUGAAUUUGAUGUGUUUUUGAAGCUGAUUGAUAGAAUAAUAAGGUUGAUUGUUGAAUAAGCUUAUUUUGUUAUGAGAUUUUUAAUGAUUUUGAGUAUUAGGGGUUAAAUUAUUGAAAGUGUAAAAUUCAUUGGUAUUAAUGUGAAAUUUUAGUAAAAAUGGGCUGUAUGGAACCUUUAAUAAAAUCAAUUAGUAUGGUUUUGGUUAAAGAAAUGGUUAAAUUGUGAGUUUCGGGUUUAAGGACUAAAUUGCACAAAGAGUAAAAUAUUAGGGGUGAUUUUGUAAUUUCACAUUAUAAUGAGCUAUGAACUAGAAUUAAUGGUUUUUGACUAUUUGAAAUACUUAAUUGAGUUAAAUUACUAUUUAGAUCAAGAAAAGAAUCAAUCGGACUUGAAUCGAGGGAAAACAAAAAUCUCGGAUUAGUUUUCAACUUAGCUGUAACAACUGGGGUGAUUGAGGUAAGUUCGUAUGAGUUAUAUACUUAUUAAUUAUUAUUUAGAUUGAUUAUUAGUUAAUGGGAUGUUAGAUAUAAUUUGAUUCAGUAAUAUUAUAAUGGCUUGAAUACUUGACGGUUUAAUAAUAUGGAUUAUAUGGUUUCGGGUCCUAGUACUGGAUGUCCUAUCGAUGGCUAAGGUCCUGUAGUUGUUGCAGAUUCUCCACAGCUUGUGUGAGCAGCAUCGUGUAGCUAACAUUCCUGAUUAUCCGAUGUUAUUCUAUAUGCUUCAACGGGUAAGUAAAAGUUAAUGGAAAGACAUGUAUACAAACUUAUAAUUGUUAAUGAUCUUAUGAAAUGGAAAGUAUGAUAUUUACAAAUGGAUGGAAAAUGUUAUUAAUAAAAAAUGUGAGAAAGGAUGAAUGUAUGCAACUCAUUUCAUGAUAUAUGCCAUGUUUCUUUGAUAUUAUAUUUUAAAGUUAUCUAGUAAUAAUGCGGAUUGUUGUGAAUAGGAAAGUAAAAUAUCUAUAUGAUUUAAAGAGCAUGGUUGAAUGAUUUAACGUUUAAUGUUCGGUAAGUUUGAGUUUCUCCUAUACGAGCUUACUAAGCACUAGUUGCUUACGUAGUUGUUUUUCCUCUGUUUUGUAGAUCAUCGGUACCUCAACCGGUUGGAAUCUUGUCGGAUUCUUAUCACAUUAUCCAACAAUCACUUUGGUAGUUUUAGUUACUUUGGCCAUGGUUAUUAAUGGCAUGUAUAGGGUUUAUAUGUAAUAAGUGUUUUGAGUAUGUUAUUUGGUUAACUUGAUAUGGUUAUGCUUUUGUGUAUAUGUUUGUUUGGCUUGUAAUGCUUUGACAAGUUUGUGUCUUUUUAUCCCACUUAAAUGUCUUGUAAAUAUAUGGCUUAAGACAUGUUCAUAUAUGAUUGAAAUGGUUCUAUGUAGGUGUGGUGAUGUAUAUUUAGGUUAUAAUAAGGGAAUUGAGUUGAUGUAUGAAUUGCGGUGCCUUUGAAUGACAUAUUGAUUAGAACUUACAGGAUGGUUAAUUUGGUAUGUUUGAGUGUGUUUGGUCUAUGUUUAGUCAAAUGAAUGUAUGUGGAAAUGGUGUAUCUUGUUCGGCAAGGAUAGGUAUUGUAAUGGCUUGUUUUAAGGGCUAAAUUUGGAGCACACAGCUUGUCACAUGGCCAUGUCCAUACACAAUUUGGCUCACGGCUUGCGACACGGUUGUCUGGCCCUAUUUCGAAUACCCACACGGGCGGACACACGGGCUAGGACACAGCCAUGUGUCCCUAGUUCGAAUAUCCACAAGGCCUGGGCUAUAUCACACAGGCGUGUGACCCUUGUUUCCCAAUUUUUCAAGUUUUUCCAAAAUUUUUUGAUUUGUUUCAAAUUGAUCCUCAACUGUUCUCAAAUUAUUUUUAAGGCCCCAAAGGCUCGAUUUAAGGCCCACAUAUGUAUUUUUUUCAUGAUUGCAAUAAGUUAUUGGAAAUUAAUAUUAAAC
This 9527-nucleotide long non-coding RNA is filed under the name Gossypium barbadense (sea-island cotton). RNAcentral describes it as "long non-coding RNA (GBAR_LNC020004)". Lineage: Eukaryota; Viridiplantae; Streptophyta; Magnoliopsida; Malvales; Malvaceae. The record is from RNAcentral.